This is a non-coding RNA of Pelobates cultripes (western spadefoot toad), 225 nucleotides long. Lineage: Eukaryota; Metazoa; Chordata; Amphibia; Anura; Pelobatidae. The record is from the annotation of a GenBank genome assembly.
GUAAAAUAUGCACAGAAUUAACAUUUGGCAAUCCGAAACAGAGUUCUGGGCUGUCAAAGUCACGAGUUCCGGGGGUAUUACUAGCCCCCUGACAAACACAAGUACAAAUAUCUCUGAAUGUUCAGUGUUACAAGCAGAAACAUCGCACAUCCAGACUCCUACCAACAUAAUCAUUUUAAAUCACUGAAGUGGUCAUGAAGGUUGGAGUAACCUUUUAAGUAAUGA